AUGUGCUACCUGUGCAAGGAUGUCGGGCACCCCGCGAUUCUCUGUCCGGACCGCCCGGUGACGGAGGAGAUCAUGAUGUACGGCCACGGCAUCGAGGACAUGGCCUUCUUCCACAUCGAGGUCCAAGAGAUCCCCCCUCCCUCCCCCUUGUUGCUGGCGAUUGUGUCGGUCGUGGGCGAGGCCGUCGCCAUCCCGGAGCUGAUCGAGGCGGAGCUCAACCACCUGUGCAGGUGCUCGUGGGAUUGGCAUGUGACCCCCACCGCAUCCAACGCCUUCUCGGUGAUCUUCCCCGACGCUAUGAGCAUGGGACUCUGUAACCGCAGCAACAACAUCACCUUGUCCCUCAACGACAUUGUGGUGAGCAUUUCUGGGCCGAGGUGGGAUCCCAAGGCCGUGGCUGUCUUGGACACUGCUUGGCUCCUCAUUGCCAGCCUGCCAGAUGUGGCCCGGUCUGAGCGGGUCAUCCGCAGUAUGUCCAAGAUCCUAGGCAAGGUGGUGGUGGUCGACGAGCUUUCCCUACGCAAGGAGGAGGAGGUCUGGGUCAAGGUGAAGUGCCUGGACUCCUCCAAGCUCCACGCCACGAUCCGUGUCUUCUUCAACGACGACGGCUAUGACCUCAAGAUCUGCCCUGAGCCUUCGAACCAAGUCGGCCGCCCCCGCUUCUCUGAUGACAGCCACCUGGGGGGUGGCCCAGACGAUGCCGACGACUCCCACCGAAGACGCUCGCGCCACUCCCGCCUCGACGACCCUGGAGAUGACGAGGACGGCUCGGAGCACUCCCGCUCCCCCUCCCGGGAGCCCUCCAACCCACCAGCGAGUCGUGGCGGUUCUGGGGCGAGGCGCACUCGAGUGUCGGCCAUUGACCUCGCGGUGGCCCUCCGCCUGGCCACCCCGCCAGUCAUGCCCUCUCAGUCUCCCUCGGAGUCAGCCAGUGACAUCUCCAGUGUGGGUCUGCUCGUCGCGCCGGCUUCGUCGCCUCGCUCUCCCUACGCUGUCUCCGCCCUUCGCCCCACUCCGUCGGGGCCGGACCCCCCGUCCCCCGCCGGCUCGGCCUCCCCGGCCUCCACGGGUGGCGGCGGGUGUGAGGCUUCCGACGCGCCUGCCCCGACACCCCCACCCGCGGGGACCGCGACCGGUGUCACCCUGGAGCUCGUCGGCCAGCUCCCCUUGCCGGUGACCUCCGGCGUCUGCCUCUCCUCACCUGCCUCCUCGGCCGCUUCGAUGGCAGUGGGCGUCUCCACCCUAGCCUCCGCGCACCCUCCUCCAACGGUGGCAUACGCCAAACGGCCCCGCUCCACCUCGACACCGGUGACAGCCUCCCGCCACAGCGCCCGCCUCGAUGCGACCCAGCCGGCAGGCUCCCCGGCUCCGUCCAUCGCCGAGCGCGAUGAGCUCUGGGCGGCAGCCCGAAACCUCGAGUCAGGUGCGGACCCCGACCUUCCCAGUUCUUCUAGCUGUUCCUUUUCCGCACUUGAGGUCGCUCCGCUUGGCCACCUCGCCAAGGUGGCCACUGACUCGGCCAUAGUCUUCAGGGGGAGGUCGGUCCCCCCUUAG
RNAcentral lists this ribosomal RNA (1554 nucleotides) under Triticum aestivum (bread wheat). RNAcentral's name for it is "partial small subunit ribosomal RNA". The record is from RNAcentral. Lineage: Eukaryota; Viridiplantae; Streptophyta; Magnoliopsida; Poales; Poaceae.